Molecule: ribosomal RNA, 505 nt
Filed under: uncultured bacterium
Lineage: Bacteria
Description: bacterial SSU rRNA
Rfam family: Bacterial small subunit ribosomal RNA
Source: RNAcentral
GAUGAACGCUAGCGGCAGGCUUAACACAUGCAAGUCGAGGGGUAGGUUACUUCGGUAAUUGAGACCGGCGCACGGGUGCGUAACGCGUAUACAAUCUACCUUUUACAGAGGGAUAGCCCAGAGAAAUUUGGAUUAAUACCUCAUAGUAUUUUUGAAUCGCAUGAUUUGAUUAUUAAAGUUCCAACGGUAAAAGAUGAGCAUGCGUCCCAUUAGCUAGUUGGUAAGGUAACGGCUUACCAAGGCUACGAUGGGUAGGGGUCCUGAGAGGGAGAUCCCCCCACACUGGUACUGAGACACGGACCAGACUCCUACGGGAGGCAGCAGUGAGGAAUAUUGGACAAUGGGCGCAAGCCUGAUCCAGCCAUGCCGCGUGCAGGAUGACGGUCCUAUGGAUUGUAAACUGCUUUUGUACAGGAAGAAACACUCCCUCGUGAGGGAGCUUUGACGGUACUGUAGGAAUAAGGAUCGGCUAACUCCGUGCCAGCAGCCGCGGUAAAGUGACUAC